RNAcentral lists this long non-coding RNA (549 nucleotides) under Nicotiana benthamiana. RNAcentral's name for it is "long non-coding RNA (NBEN_LNC010941)". Lineage: Eukaryota; Viridiplantae; Streptophyta; Magnoliopsida; Solanales; Solanaceae. The record is from RNAcentral.
GAAUUUUUGCCAUAAUCAAUGCGUAUGACAAUAUUGACGUCUCAGUUGUCUUUUCCAUUUAAUAUUCUGUCCAUGUGUCACUUUUUGAUUGAUUCUGCUGUUUUACACCCUUUUUCAAGAUUUCUUCACUUCCACACGAAGUGAUAGUUGCCUUUAUUAUAGGCUUUCCAUCAUUACACUUCUAAUUUUGACGGUUGCCAUUAUAUACAUAUUUUUCUUCCUUUGUCUUCUUCUUCACAAAUCUUUAGGUCUGCUCCUUACUUUUGACCUCUUUUGAUUCAACCUUGCUCAACAAUGCGUCUCCAAGCCCUAACCCUAAAAGAGUUCCACUUUUAGACUGGUUCCCCAAUGUCCCCGUUAAACAUAGAAGAGGCAGAGGAGGUAGACUUCGAACGGGGUUAGAUUCUACUCGUGGCGGCUCAUCCGGUUCCUCUUCUAGGAGUUCUCUCCCAAAAACUCCUUCUUCUAAAGGUAAAGAAAUUCCUAAUUCUUCUCGAGAACCUUUAGUUGAUGAAAUCGUACCUAGUGAUUUGUCUUUUGUGAGUGAUA